Molecule: ribosomal RNA, 910 nt
Filed under: Flavobacterium sp. RPD001
Lineage: Bacteria; Pseudomonadati; Bacteroidota; Flavobacteriia; Flavobacteriales; Flavobacteriaceae
Description: bacterial SSU rRNA
Rfam family: Bacterial small subunit ribosomal RNA
Source: RNAcentral
UUACACGUGCAGUCGAGGGGUAGANNUNUGUGUCGGAAGUUGCGACCGGCGCACGGGUGCGGUAACGCGUGUGCAUUCUGCCUGCCACAGACGGAUAUCCCAUAGAGAUUUGGAUUAAUACCUCAUAGCAUCAUGUUCCGGCAUCGGAAUAUNAUUAAAGUCACGACGGUGGAAGAUGAGCAUGCGUCCCAUUAGCUAUUUGGUAAGGUAACGGCUUACCAAGGCGACGAUGGGUAGGGGUCCUGAGAGGGAGAUCCCCCACACUGGUACUGAGACACGGACCAGACUCCUACGGGAGGCAGCAGUGAGGAAUAUUGGUCAAUGGGCGCAAGCCUGAACCAGCCAUGCCGCGUGCAGGAUGACGGUCCUAUGGAUUGUAAACUGCUUUUGUACGGGAAGAAACACUCCCUCGUGAGGGAGCUUGACGGUACCGUAAGAAUAAGGAUCGGCUAACUCCGUGCCAGCAGCCGCGGUAAUACGGAGGAUCCAAGCGUUAUCCGGAAUCAUUGGGUUUAAAGGGUCCGUAGGCGGUCUUGUAAGUCAGUGGUGAAAGCCCAUCGCUCAACGGUGGAACGGCCAUUGAUACUGCAGGACUUGAAUUACUGGGAAGUAACUAGAAUAUGUAGUGUAGCGGUGAAAUGCUUAGAGAUUACAUGGAAUACCAAUUGCGAAGGCAGGUUACUACCAGUGGAUUGACGCUGAUGGACGAAAGCGUGGGUAGCGAACAGGAUUAGAUACCCUGGUAGUCCACGCCGUAAACGAUGGAUACUAGCUGUUGGGGGCAACUUCAGUGGCUAAGCGAAGUGAUAAGUAUCCCACCUGGGGAGUACNAACGCAAGUUUGAAACUCAAAGGAAUNACGGGGGCCNGCACAGNCGGUGGANCAUGUGNUUAAUUCGAUGAUACCNCGA